ACAUGACCACGACCAAAAAAAAAGUAAAAAAGUGAAAAAUUAUUUGAAUAAGCCAUACAAACAAUGUAAUAAAAAAAACAUUGCAGGAUAUGAUCAAGUUAAACAUAAAACGGCUGAUCUCAUUCUCUGCAUAUUUUAAUGGACAUCUAGAGGCCAAUGCACUCCAGUAUCCAUAGUUGUAGGUUCAUAAAGCAAAACUUCCAUUAACAAGCAAAAACUGAGGCCCCUGGGACCCUGAAGAACUAAUAGAAGGGAAUUCCUCAGCAGCUGCAAUUGCCAUUGCAUCCACAACAUACUUGGGCGAAUUUCUCUCCCUAUUCAAGUAUACCCCGGUACAAAUUCAUUGCGAUAUUAACAUUUUACAUGACUUUGUUCCUGGAAGGGGUUUAUUUGGAAAAGAGAAAAAAAAAAAAUAAACAAAGAUUGACAAGAGCACCUGCUACUGAUAAGAAAACAAAAUCUACAGCAGUGUAGAAUGGUGUUUAGAUGUCCCCAUAAUGAUUCUUCUACAUGAAUGUUGAAUUAAUUGCUGAAAAUUAAAUGCUUUUAAGUAUGUACAGGACACAUAAUUUCUACCUUAAACCCCAUUUCAUAUGCCAGAUGUUUGAGAUAAUUCGUUGUCUCAAAUCUGGCCACCAAUGAAUUCUUCUUUCUGCAAUGUCUCGAGGGGCUGCGCAUAUCUCAACAUUUAAAACUUUCCUCUCAUUGGAUUGUCUUUAUAAGCUUGCACUUAGAAAUGAACAUGCUAUCCAUGUAAUUUAGACUACACAGCUUCAAAAGCUCUGCAGAUUGCUGCUUCAAGACAGGAUUACAACCACUCUGAAUCACAAGCAGGAGCUUUGCUGCAAGGCCCACAUUCACAGCAAGUGAUGGGCAUUCCUCAGGAGCAAGUUUGCAUACGGAACAUAAAAUUGACAAUGCAUAUUGAGUACAAAUCUCCGGAACUCCCAUCAAUAACUGUGACAUGUUCAAUAUUGUGUUUGGAGAGUCCUUCAAUGCCACUCGUCCCUGAGGUAGAGAAGAUAAUGAAUCCAAUAUGAAUAGUGCCAAUUCCAAACAAUCAGGAUCCAAGGAAGGUAACAGCUCAACCAACUGAGGAACAGCUCCAAUGGUCACAAUCAAGCUCCUUACUUCCUCAUGUAAGCAUAUUGAUCUGAGGAGGCUGAGCCCUGGCAAGAUACCAUUGGUGUGCCUCUUACCCUUCACCAGCCUCAUCAACCCAACCAACAGACUAUGACUUGAGAUAAGUUCUGUGCGAAAAUCCUUCUCUUCCAUCAAUUUCUCAAUCAAUCUAGUACAAUUGAUCCUCGUCUCAAUUGAACCUUCAUUUAAUAUGUCCACCAUUAACGAAAUCUUUGCAGGUUGCAUCAAAUCGGACUUGGCCUCUGAAUCAAGUGUCAAAUUCAUAAGAAUCCCAAUUACCUCAGAACCAACGGCAUGGCUUGUGAAUGGACCUAGUAAAGAUGAAAUCACUGCAACCCCACCUUCAUCUACCACAGUUUUCCUAGCAGUAGCAUGAGCUGCUACAACUUGGUGCAGCUCCUUCAGUGCCUGAACCCUAGUUUGACCCUUCACUUUCUUCAGUGACUCAAUAAGUUCUGCUGCCCUUCCCUGUACAUCUUCUGCUCUCUUCCUCGCUAGCAAAUACUUCUGUGAAAACCAAGAGUAAAUCAAGUGAUAAAGAGUUUUAUUUGGCGUAACUGAAUCAUCCCACAGUUCUUGCAUUGUGGUAGGGCAGGUAUAGUGCCCCAAACUGAACCAUUUGAGAAUAUUGGGUCUCUCAUAGGUUUGGCCCGUGCAAAGAGUAACAGGGUCUUGCAUUGGCUCAAGGGAUAUCGGACAUACAAAUACUGAAGGAACUUCUGAUAAAUCAAGCUCCUCAAUCAUCUUCUUCAGGUCCAAUUUCUCGCCAACACCAGCACCAAUAACCCCACCACCAACACCACCCAGAACUCCAUCUUUCACUGCAGUGUCUAAAUCUAAAACUUGGCCAUCAAACCCAGCAAUGCCAUCCCUCUUAGAGGGCUGAAACAUUGGCAUUUUUUGAAAAACCUGCAAAGAAAAACCUAAACCCACCAACAACACAAACACAAUAACAAAAAGGGAAAAAAGAAUCCCUCCAAAUCACUGCAAUGACAAGCACCCUUCAUGGCACAUUACAUCUAGGUUGCACAUGAAAUGUGCGAAAAGGAUGAAAUAAAGGGGAAAGAAAGAAUGGAGUUCUCUGUCAUUGACAAUCACAAGCAACAAACAAAAUUCUUCCUUUAUUGCCCACAAAUAUGCAUCACCUUCCCCUCCUGUUGCUUUCCCUUUGCUUUAAGUAAUGCCUUUCUACGGUCAAAAAACUCAUUGGUAUCAUAAUAACACAAACAAUAGACAUAUAAUCAAGCUGCUCUCACUUUGUUGUUCAAGCUUCAAAAGGGUCAAAUCAUGAACACCAGUGGAGUGAGAGACGGAGAGAGUGAAGCAGAGUGAGAAAGAGAAAGCGAAAAGCGAUGUCCAGCAAAGCCUUCCCUAGUUCUCCUCUUCUUUUGGGGCAAGUGUUUAAUGAGAGAGAGAGCUUUUCACGGAAAAUAAUAAAAAUGGAAAAUAAAAGAAUUACUCCUUUUUGAUUUUGAGAUGAGUGCGACCGGGAAGGAACCGCUGCAACCGGUGAAUCAGCCCCUCACCGCGCGCACUACACGUGCAGUCUUGUCAUAUCUCG
This 2704-nucleotide unclassified non-coding RNA is filed under the name Hevea brasiliensis (rubber tree). The record is from RNAcentral. Lineage: Eukaryota; Viridiplantae; Streptophyta; Magnoliopsida; Malpighiales; Euphorbiaceae.